This 1428-nucleotide long non-coding RNA is filed under the name Anolis carolinensis (green anole). RNAcentral describes it as "lncRNA (ENSACAG00000039340.1)". Lineage: Eukaryota; Metazoa; Chordata; Lepidosauria; Squamata; Anolidae. The record is from RNAcentral.
GUUGUGAAGUUUCCGGGCUGUUCUGUCCCUUCUGUUUCUUGACUCUGAGUGGCCUGAGUUGUCGAAGGCUUUCAUGUCCGGAAUUGCUGAGUUACUAACUGGACCAGUAGAAAUAAUGAUCAAUGGAAACCAAGGCAGCUGAAACAGCCACGAUCAAGAUGAUUGCAUCUUUCACAACUGAAUCUGAAAUUAGAGAUCCUUAUGGUUACAGACCUGCUCUCCAAUGCAUGUAUUUGCUGAAGGUAAAAAAUAUGCAUGGAAAAACAAAUGUCAAAGUUUCAUAAAUGGGAAACAUAUACACUGCCAUCUCUAUAUCAACAGGGGAAAGUUCGGAACUUCAUGUGAAUACACAAAAUUUCAGAUAUCAACCCUAUUGAAAUGAAGGUUUUGUGGCUCAAGAAUACAAGUCAUGCCAGAGGACCUAGCGAAUGGCGAGAGAAGUCAUAUGUCAACCAUGGAUAAAUGAAACUGCAUGUACAGACACAGCGGUCAUACUGUAUAUGUAUAUAUAUUGUCAAUAUAAGCCUGUCUGGACCUUGAGAUCUUCAAGAAAGGAUUUUGUUUAGUCUCAUCUCUUUGAAUUCUGUGGUUGCCCACAGGCUCUAGAACUUCACCUAUAUUAGGGAUGGAUCUUUUUUCAUUGCAGUCUUUCCAUCAGCAGAUAUAGGUGUGUGUUUUAAUUAUUCUGAAAGUCUUUUAGACCUGAAGAUUUUUAAGGAAAUAACUGUAUGAAGAUAUUGAAUUGUCUGAAAUUAUUUUACUGUUUUUAUUUUUUUAUCAAUUUAAGUGUCUCUUUCAAAUUAUUUUUGUACAGUUAAGAAUUCUACUUUAAUGUUGAUGUUUAGUAUGAUUUUGAUCUGUAUUCUUACUGUUUUAAUUUCCAAGCUGAUUUGAAUCCCUAUCUUGGGGGGAAGGGAAGAGGAUAAAGUUGUUCUUAUUAUUUAAAUUAAAUUUGUGUGUGUGUGUAGAAUUAAAGGUGACACAAAAAUGCAGCAAUUUCCAUUUAAGGUAAGAGAGAAAUCCACAAUUUGAUACACAUCUGAGUCAGAACAUGGGAUUUCAACAAGCUUGUUUUGACCUUUCACACAUCCCUACUCUCAGUGAGGAUAACAUUUCCAAAUGCAUUUUAGUUGCAUUGACCUGACACCUUGCCCUAAAGCUGACCUGCCAUAUCCAUGGAUUCUCCACCCACAAAUCCGACCAUUCAUGAGUUGAUUUCUUCUAAUCCAAAAAGCACACCUUGUAUUUGCUAUUUUAUAUAAGGCACAUCAUUUUACUAUGCCCUUGUAUAUUAUGGGACUUGAGGCUAAAACCUUUUUAUUCAGAAAGGCUUUUAAAGAUUAAGGUGUUUAGAAUCUAGUCAGGGGUGCUAUGGUUUUUAAUUCUGAAUAUGUUUUGAUGAAUUUGAACCAUGAAUUUUUAGUGCUG